Molecule: long non-coding RNA, 290 nt
Organism: Anolis carolinensis (green anole)
Lineage: Eukaryota; Metazoa; Chordata; Lepidosauria; Squamata; Anolidae
Exons: 2
Source: RefSeq, a predicted model, not a curated record
CAUAUAGUGGGUUGGGCUCAGAGGGAAAACUGCUUCCUCACUGCAGGUUCCACAAACCAAAUUGUAAUAUCUUCAUAGGGUUACAUUACUCAUGGAUGUGUGUCUGUAAAGAGCUGGUGCUGAUGUGCAGUUUGCAAAAAAUGGGAUUUAUAAACUUACCAACCCUUGGUGAGAUAUUGCCUUACUGAAUGGCCAUUAAGCUGAAGAGGACAAAGUGGAGAUGUCUGUUGACUAUGAUCAAAAGAGUUACUCGGUUUUUGGAAAGGAGAAUAAAAGAUUUCAGAGAAUGA